This 468-nucleotide ribosomal RNA is filed under the name uncultured bacterium. RNAcentral describes it as "partial 16S ribosomal RNA". It matches the Rfam family "Bacterial small subunit ribosomal RNA", at positions 28 to 507 of the family's 1533-position model. The record is from RNAcentral.
GACGAACGCUGGCGGCGUGCUUAACACAUGCAAGUCGAACGGAAAGGCCCUGCUUUUGUGGGGUGCUCGAGUGGCGAACGGGUGAGUAACACGUGAGUAACCUGCCCUUGACUUUGGGAUAACUUCAGGAAACUGGGGCUAAUACCGGAUAGGAGCUCCUGCUGCAUGGUGGGGGUUGGAAAGUUUCGGCGGUUGGGGAUGGACUCGCGGCUUAUCAGCUUGUUGGUGGGGUAGUGGCUUACCAAGGCUUUGACGGGUAGCCGGCCUGAGAGGGUGACCGGCCACAUUGGGACUGAGGUACGGCCCAGACUCCUACGGGGGGCAGCAGUGGGGAAUAUUGCACAGUGGGCGGAAGCCUGAUGCGGCAGCGCCGGGUUCGGGAAGACGGCUUUCGGGUUGUAAACCGCUUUCGCCUGUGACGAAGCGGGUGUGACGGUAAUGAAUAAAGAAGCACCGGCUAACUACGUG